This is a long non-coding RNA of Bos taurus (domestic cattle), 489 nucleotides long. The record is from Ensembl. NCBI's taxonomy places the organism in Eukaryota, Metazoa, Chordata, Mammalia, Artiodactyla, Bovidae.
GAUUAGCCAGUAGCGGAGAGAAUAGAGCAUGUCUGCUGUUACGGCUGCUCUGUCAACCAGGGGAUCAUUGGGGUUUCAGCCUGCUGCAGAGUCCCUGGAGGUAGAAUACCUGUGUAUGGAGGGCUGAUGUAACACCAGGGCUGCCCUAGACAAAAAGAAGGACUGAAAGGAAAACCUGAAGAGGAGCUUCUCAGAUAUAAUUUCAGUGAAAUCUAGCAAGAUGAUGCCUCAUGUGCUUUGGAAAUGUAAAGAGAAGAUCAUCACUGCAGUUCACUUUUCCUGAUCAGACACUGAGGUAAUUAAAAACCUAAAGAUGCUAUGGAGAAAAUCAACCUCUGAGGUUCUUCUGAGUCUCUGUUUUGAGCUUCUAAGAUGUUGCUUGGAAUGUAAACUUUCUGAUUGCCAGUGCCUGCAUGUCAAAGACCCCCACUGAAGUCUUGUGAUGAAUAAAGAAGACAGGGAAUAUGGAAUCACAAAUGCAAACCUGGC